RNAcentral lists this long non-coding RNA (442 nucleotides) under Pan troglodytes (chimpanzee). RNAcentral describes it as "long non-coding RNA NONPTRT001251". The record is from RNAcentral. Lineage: Eukaryota; Metazoa; Chordata; Mammalia; Primates; Hominidae.
AAAAAUAUGAGGCAAGGCCCCUGCCUUCAAAGAGCUUGCAAGUUUUUGGGGGAGACUUAGGCACAAAUUAACCAACAUCUGUUGAGCACUUGCUGCUUGCCAGGACCCUGCCCUUCCCCUCGUGUCUUCCUCCCUUCCAGGACUCACCCCCUCACUUACCCUCCCCCUCAAUUCUCACAGCAACCCUGGGAGGUAGGCCUUAUGGUUUCUGUUUUGCAAAUGAAGAACCUGAGAUUGAAGAAGAGUAGAGAUUGGAGGAUCAGGUCCUGAGAGGUCCCAUGUGCUUUCCAAUAACAGUUCAGUAUAUUAGAAGACAGUAUGGCAUCCACGGCCAAGUACUACUAGUUGAUAGACUGGAUGCUGCUAUGGUAAUCUGCCUCAGGAAAAUGCCGGACUGUUGUUUGCAAGCUGGUUAAGUGAGCAAAUCUUGGGAAGAUUUCAA